This 785-nucleotide ribosomal RNA is filed under the name uncultured Bacillus sp. RNAcentral's name for it is "bacterial SSU rRNA". It matches the Rfam family "Bacterial small subunit ribosomal RNA", at positions 553 to 1338 of the family's 1533-position model. Lineage: Bacteria; Bacillati; Bacillota; Bacilli; Caryophanales; Bacillaceae. The record is from RNAcentral.
AUUGGGCAUAAAGGGCUCGCAGGCGGUUCCUUAAGUCUGAUGUGAAAGCCCCCGGCUCAACCGGGGAGGGUCAUUGGAAACUGGGGAACUUGAGUGCAGAAGAGGAGAGUGGAAUUCCACGUGUAGCGGUGAAAUGCGUAGAGAUGUGGAGGAACACCAGUGGCGAAGGCGACUCUCUGGUCUGUAACUGACGCUGAGGAGCGAAAGCGUGGGGAGCGAACAGGAUUAGAUACCCUGGUAGUCCACGCCGUAAACGAUGAGUGCUAAGUGUUAGGGGGUUUCCGCCCCUUAGUGCUGCAGCUAACGCAUUAAGCACUCCGCCUGGGGAGUACGGUCGCAAGACUGAAACUCAAAGGAAUUGACGGGGGCCCGCACAAGCGGUGGAGCAUGUGGUUUAAUUCGAAGCAACGCGAAGAACCUUACCAGGUCUUGACAUCCUCUGACAAUCCUAGAGAUAGGACGUCCCCUUCGGGGGCAGAGUGACAGGUGGUGCAUGGUUGUCGUCAGCUCGUGUCGUGAGAUGUUGGGUUAAGUCCCGCAACGAGCGCAACCCUUGAUCUUAGUUGCCAGCAUUCGGUUGGGCACUCUAAGGUGACUGCCGGUGACAAACCGGAGGAAGGUGGGGAUGACGUCAAAUCAUCAUGCCCCUUAUGACCUGGGCUACACACGUGCUACAAUGGACAGAACAAAGGGCAGCGAAACCGCGAGGUUAAGCCAAUCCCACAAAUCUGUUCUCAGUUCGGAUCGCAGUCUGCAACUCGACUGCGUGAAACUGGAAUCGAUAG